UUGGGAUACUGAUGACUGCCAGCGGUCUACACGAAUUUGAUAGGUGAUUUGCGAGGAUUGGCAGUCUGCGAGCAUGACGAUGUGGAUAAUCAGCUGCCGUCGUGUGUCUCAGACCAUCGCACCAUAUCGCAUAGCUGGGACACUCAGGGUUCUUCACUAUGCGGUGUUCACGCCACCCCGCCACCCCUCGUCAACAAAUGGAGACGUCCAGAAGAACUACAGGGUGCUGUUGGAGUAGCAGCGUCCUUCCGUUGCCAGCUAGAAUGCGAAGUGAGCUUCAGACGGAGCAAGUGCUCAUACAUUGCUUCUUCGCCAAUUCCAGCCCGUUGGCAAACCGGACGUCUCCAGCCAUGUGUUCUGACCACUAUGGCCGAUCUACAGGUUGUCGUUUCUUCAUGAGCUUGUUUUCCGUUCCUGGGACUGGCUGGUCAGAAUACGAAUACCGGAAAAAAAGCUUUUUCUUUGGUCUGCGACGUCAGCAUGCUGUCGGUCCCACUAACCACCACGGUCUUUCACUGCACCAUCGCUUCAAGGACCGUCUCUGCACGGAUCAAUACCCGCGGGUAUGUCGAGAAGUCACGGUACAUUGAGAAGUACGGCUGUGGUGGCUAUGUGCGGGCCUCCCCGCGAAUUGCCCUUCUUUUCCGUCGGUAGGCGUUGGCAAAGAUCGUCGUAUCCUGCUAUUUCCUGUGAGUACCGCUUCUUGCCGAGAUUUCGAUUACUAACAUUUUUUUUUUCAUGCAUUUUAAUAUGUUGGGGUGUAUAUGUAGAUUAAAAUAAUCUCGAGGAAAAUAGAUAUUUAGUCAUUUUUUCUUCUGUCUCCA
RNAcentral lists this non-coding RNA (824 nucleotides) under Ogataea angusta. The record is from RNAcentral. Lineage: Eukaryota; Fungi; Ascomycota; Pichiomycetes; Pichiales; Pichiaceae.